Mauremys mutica (yellowpond turtle) is the source of this 1689-nucleotide long non-coding RNA. RefSeq lists it as uncharacterized. NCBI's taxonomy places the organism in Eukaryota, Metazoa, Chordata, Testudines, Geoemydidae. The transcript is spliced from 2 exons. The record is from RefSeq and is a predicted model, not a curated record.
CCAGAGAGUUUUGCAAAAUAGCAGUUUAUUCCAUCACUGCUUCAAAACUGAUAAAAGAACUUUGCAAUCACUUGCAUGCAUAUGAUUUCCUUAACCAUUUUAACUUGCUGUUUCUUUUCUCUUUAUAAAUAAACCUUUAGAUUUGGUUACUACAGCAGCGUGAGCGUUGGGUAAGAGCUGUGUUACAUAUUGACCUGGCUAUGUGGCUGGUCUCUUGACAUUAGAACACUUUGUUUGAUGAAAUUAGUUUUCAGUUAACCAUAAAGUCCAAUGUCUGGAUGGUGAGACAAGGGUUGGAAUGCCUAAGGAGACUGUAUGUUUGAUUUCUUGUUAACCAGUGUGGUGAGACAGAACUUUACUUUUGUUACUGGCUUGAUAAAUCUAAUGGUAGAAUAACCACCAGUUUGGGGUGAGUCUGCCCUAUUUCUCAGCAGUUUGUCCUGAAUCUGACAUCCUCAGCUGUGACCCACUGAGGCACAGUGACAAGUUUACCAACAGGAAUGUUGUAAGGGAAGAAUAAGAGGCAGCCAAAGCACUGCGCCUGACACAGAAGACGAUCUGCAGACAACAGAAGAUAUAUGUACAUAUGUCAAAAAUAUGCAGAGUAUGUCCCUAAAUCAUUUUGUACCUAUAAAUAUGGACAGAUUGAAAUGUACAAACAACUUUGCACAAAGUCACAGCUUUACAAAAGUCGAAAUCUAGCAGGAUUCAAGGGCACAUAUGGGGAAGACAUGAUGUGUUUUGCAGGAUAGAGUUACCAGUAAUAUACAUUUCCAUAUGCUACAAGCAGAAAAGUUGAAUGCAUAUAUUUAUAAAAGGGGGUUGAAGAGCUAAAUGAUUUAGCAGAAAGAGAAUAUGAAAUAAAAGAAGCAGCCCAAUUUAAUAGUAAGCACAGUAAUUAGAAUUUCUACUCUGAAUAUGACAGAAAAGAAAAUGUUAAUGAAAAGGGGAAUACCUAGGCUUUACUAACGCAUUGCUGAUGUAAAGUGAACAUUUAAAUGGGCACGAAUGUUGUGAAUGUUGGGCAUUUCUAUAGUUUGAUUUGUGUUAAAAUAUGAAUUAAAAUAUUCUGGAGUCCUAAAAAUGUGUAAGUACAAGUGUGUGCUUGAGCCUGUGAAAAAGAUCCUUUUUUAGGUUCUAAUGAAAAAUGUAAAUAAGAGCAAGUAACAUGGUCUUUUAUUUCAAUACAUUAGUUGGAUUUUCUUUCUGAUCUACCCUCUGAGGAUUCUUUUUUUCCAGUGCGGGAUUGACUAUGUACUGUAUAUUGUCUAACAUUUUUUAAAUUAAAACCAUAUGGAUGAAAUCAGUUUAUUGUCUUGCAGAUGUUGAAAUCCAGUCUUGUUUUAGUUUAGCUACUUACAUAGAAUUUAAAUGUCUCCUGUAUAUAUAUUUUGUAUCUUUGUAAUAAUUCACUAUAUUGCUUUUCAUUAGUGUCCUUUUUCUGUAAUUGUUGCUCAUUGUUUAUUAAAUUUCUAACCAUUCAACAACAGUUGCCACAUGCACAUGCCUGACUGCUCCUUUUAUUUUGUCUGUGCCACAAUUUGUAAAUGUUACGUUGCCCUAACAUUUGCAACAUAUGUAAGUUGUACAAAGGCUACUUUUCACUUGUAGUAGUAAAGAAAGACCUUUCCUUCCGGUAACCUUCCCCAGUAAUAAAACACAGAGCAAUUUGACUCUUAUUCGAGAUUA